CAGUAGCCGCGGUAAUACGUAGGUGGCAAGCGUUGUCCGGAAUUAUUGGGCGUAAAGGGCUCGCAGGCGGUUUCUUAAGUCUGAUGUGAAAGCCCCCGGCUCAACCGGGGAGGGUCAUUGGAAACUGGGAAACUUGAGUGCAGAAGAGGAGAGUGGAAUUCCACGCGUAGCGGUGAAAUGCGUAGAGAUGUGGAGGAACACCAGUGGCGAAGGCGACUCUCUGGUCUGUAACUGACGCUGAGGAGCGAAAGCGUGGGGAGCGAACAGGAUUAGAUACCCCGGUAGUCCCUGUCUCUUAUAA
Molecule: ribosomal RNA, 301 nt
Filed under: uncultured bacterium
Lineage: Bacteria
Description: partial 16S ribosomal RNA
Rfam family: Bacterial small subunit ribosomal RNA
Source: RNAcentral